RNAcentral lists this ribosomal RNA (534 nucleotides) under uncultured bacterium. RNAcentral's name for it is "bacterial SSU rRNA". It matches the Rfam family "Bacterial small subunit ribosomal RNA", at positions 777 to 1305 of the family's 1533-position model. The record is from RNAcentral.
AAUAGAUACCCUGGUAGUCCUAGCUGUAAACGAUGAGCACUGGGUUGAGGGGACUUCCACAUCCUCUCGGCCGUAGCGAAAGCGUUAAGUGCUCCGCCUGGGGAGUAUGGCCGCAAGGCUGAAACUCAAAGGAAUUGACGGGGGCUCACACAAGCGGUGGAGGAUGUGGCUUAAUUCGAGGCUACGCGAAGAACCUUAUCCUAGAUUUGACAUGGUUGAGAAUCUCCUUGAAAGAGGAGAGUGCCCUUCGGGGAGCUCUUUCACAGGUGCUGCAUGGCUGUCGUCAGCUCGUGUCGUGAGAUGUUGGGUUAAGUCCCUUAACGAGCGAAACCCUUAUCUUUAGUUGCCAGCGGGUCAAGCCGGGGACUCUAAAGAGACUGCCGGUGUCAAACCGGAGGAAGGUGGGGAUGACGUCAGGUCCUCAUGGCCUUUAUGUCUAGGGCUGCACACGUCCUACAAUGGCACGUACAAAGGGAAGCCAAGCCGCGAGGCCGCGCUAAUCCCAAAAAGCGUGCCCCAGUUCGGAUUGCAGGC